AACGAACGCUGGCGGCAGGCUUAACACAUGCAAGUCGAGCGCAUCCUUCGGGGUGAGCGGCGGACGGGUGAGUAACGCGUGGGAACGUGCCCUCAUCUACGGAAUAGCCUCGGGAAACUGAGAGUAAUGCCGUAUACGCCCGCAAGGGGAAAGAUUUAUCGGAGGAGGAUCGGCCCGCGUUGGAUUAGGUAGUUGGUGGGGUAACGGCCUACCAAGCCGACGAUCCAUAGCUGGUUUGAGAGGAUGAUCGGCCACACUGGGACUGAGACACGGCCCAGACUCCGACGGGAGGCAGCAGGAGGGAAUCUUCGGCAAUGGACGAAAGUCUGACCGAGCAACGCCGCGUGAGUGAAGAAGGUUUUCGGAUCGUAAAACUCUGUUGUGAGAGAAGAACAAGGACGUUAGGAACUGAACGUCCCCUGACGGUAGCUAACCAGAAAGCAACGGCUAACUACGUG
RNAcentral lists this ribosomal RNA (458 nucleotides) under uncultured bacterium. RNAcentral's name for it is "partial 16S ribosomal RNA". It matches the Rfam family "Bacterial small subunit ribosomal RNA", at positions 29 to 507 of the family's 1533-position model. The record is from RNAcentral.